GUGAGAAAUACUCGAAGUUUCAGUAACAGUGUCUUUGGGUCCUAGCGGCCACCUGUGGAGAGAGAACAGGACGAGAGUGAAUCAUCGAAGAGCAAACUGUGAACGUGAUACCUACCCAGAGAGCUGUAAGCAGCAGAACCGUGACUAUCUGUGGGGCACAAGGCGAACGUGGGCGGACGUACGACAGGGAACGUAAGGGCACGUGGGGCGAGGACCCCCUGCCGACCCGAGGAAAGAUACACCGACAGUGGAGAUCCUCCUUACCAGUCACACCAAAAUUAUUCUGCCUCCAGGACGGAAGAAGGAGGGCGCCACGGUUAGCAGGGUCCAGGCCGGAGCCUGACGUUUCCCUUUCUCCCCCGGCUUAUGGUGGUUGGCACCCCUGUUGCCCUUGGCCUGUCUGCCCGUGGCUGCAGUCUCCCUGGAGGGAGACGAAGAGACCUAUUAGUUUUAAAUUCCCCUUUCCCCCAAAUUCCCAGUUCUUUUAGAUAUUUAAACUAAAUAAAGCUUGUUUUAAAUUUUA
Molecule: non-coding RNA, 523 nt
Organism: Paramisgurnus dabryanus
Lineage: Eukaryota; Metazoa; Chordata; Actinopteri; Cypriniformes; Cobitidae
Source: RefSeq, a predicted model, not a curated record